GACGAACGCUGGCGGCGUGCUUAACACAUGCAAGUCGAACGGAAAGGCCCCCUUGUGGGGUACUCGAGUGUCGAACGGGUCAGUAACACGUGAGUAACCUACCCUUGACUUUGGGCUAACUUCAGUAAACUGGGGCGAAUACCGGAUCGGAGCUCCUGCUGCAUGGUGGGGGUCGGAAAGUUUCGGCGGUUGGGGAUGGACUCGCGGCUUAUCAGCUUGUUGGUGGGGUAGUGGCUCACCAAGGCUUUGACGGGUAGCCGGCCUGAGAGGGUGACCGGCCACAUGGGGACUGAGAUACGGCGCAGACUCCUACGGGAGGCAGCAGUGGGGAAUAUUGCACAAUGGGCGGAAGCCUGAUGCAGCAACGCCGCGUGCGGGAUGACGGCCUUCGGGUUGUAAACCGCUUUCGCCUGUGACGAAGCGUGAGUGACGGUAAUGAGUAAAGAAGCACCGGCUAACUACGUG
Molecule: ribosomal RNA, 465 nt
Filed under: uncultured bacterium
Lineage: Bacteria
Description: partial 16S ribosomal RNA
Rfam family: Bacterial small subunit ribosomal RNA
Source: RNAcentral